GAAGAGAUCAGANACCGUCGUAGUUCCGNCCGUAAACGAUGCNGACUGGCGCUCCGCCGGCGUUCGCUUCGAUGACCNNGCGGGGAGCCUGCGCGGGNAACCAUAGUCGGUUCNGAGGGGAGUAUGGUUGCAAAACAGNAACUUAAAGGAAUUGACGGAAGGGCACCACCAGGAGUGGAGCCUGCGGCUUAAUUUGACUCAACACGGGAAAACUCACCCGGUCCGGACACCGGUAGGAUUGACAGAUCGAUAGCUCUUUCUCGAUUCGGUGGGUGGUGGUGCAUGGCCGUUCUUAGUUGGUGGAGCGCUCCGUCUGGUUGAUUCCGGUAACGAACGAGACUCCGGCCUGCUAACUAGCGCGUCGAUUAGUGCUUUUCCGGUAGCGUGGCGGCGCCGAAGCCGUCGUCGGUAAGCUGUCCUGCGUUCGGUUCUUUUCCCUUUUUCUUCGAGCUCGGGCUUCCGUUGCCGUUGCCGUCGUCGUCGCGUCGUCGUCGUCUUCUUCUUUCGCGAGUUCGCUUGCGGAAUGGAGGAAUGAAGGCAGCGCUGGCGGAGGCGGCGGUCGGUUUUUCGGGCUCGGGAGGGGGGGACCGACGCGAACAGCCCCGGCGUCGGCACGUCGUCGCGUCCGGGCCAGUCGGUUGGCGAACGCAGCGCUUCUUAGAGGGACGGGCGGCAGAAAGCCGCACGAGGCGGAGCGAUAACAGGUCUGUGAUGCCCUUAGAUGUCCGGGGCCGCACACGCUCUACACUGGAGGUAUCAGCGGGCGCCACUCCCCCGGCCCGAGAGGGUCGGGAAACCUCUGAACCACCUCCCGUGAUAGGGAUCGGGGUCUGGAACCAACCCCGUGAACGAGGAAUUCCCGGAAGGCGCGGGUCAUCUGCCCGCGUCGAUCACGUCCCUGCCCUUUGUACACACCGUCCGUCGCUACUACCGAUCGAACGGUCCGGUGAGGUCCUCGGAUCUGGCCGACGAGUUCGCAGGCCGCGCGGCGGCGUUUCGAGUCGGCCGUCAGGUCGGUUCGUUGCCGUCGUCGGUGCGCUCUCUGAUGGCCCGGAGAAGACGACCGAACCCGAUCGCU
Molecule: ribosomal RNA, 1078 nt
Filed under: Eledone cirrhosa (curled octopus)
Lineage: Eukaryota; Metazoa; Mollusca; Cephalopoda; Octopoda; Eledonidae
Description: bacterial SSU rRNA
Rfam family: Eukaryotic small subunit ribosomal RNA
Source: RNAcentral